UAAGCGGAGGAAAAGAAACCAACAGGGAUUGCCCUAGUAACGGCGAGUGAAGCGGCAACAGUUCAAAUUUGAAAGCUAGCCUUCGGGUUCGCAUUGUAAUUUGUAGAGGAUGCUUUGGGUAAAACGCCAGUCUAAGUUCCUUGGAACAGGACGUCAUAGAGGGUGAGAAUCCCGUAUGUGACUGGAAAUGUUAACCUAUGUAAAGCUCCUUCGACGAGUCGAGUUGUUUGGGAAUGCAGCUCUAAAUGGGAGGUAAAUUUCUUCUAAAGCUAAAUAUUGGCGAGAGACCGAUAGCGCACAAGUAGAGUGAUCGAAAGAUGAAAAGCACUUUGGAAAGAGAGUUAAAAAGCACGUGAAAUUGUUGAAAGGGAAGCGCUUGCAAUCAGACUUGUUUAAACUGUUCGGCCGGUCUUCUGACCGGUUUACUCAGUUUGGACAGGCCAGCAUCAGUUUCGGCGGCCGGAUAAAGGCUCUGGGAAUGUGGCCUCCACUUCGGUGGAGGUGUUAUAGCCCAGUGUGUAAUACGGCCAGCCGGGACUGAGGUCCGCGCUUCGGCUAGGAUGCUGGCGUAAUGGUUGUAAGCGAC
This 586-nucleotide ribosomal RNA is filed under the name Aureobasidium sp. KCTC 26211. RNAcentral describes it as "eukaryotic LSU rRNA". It matches the Rfam family "Eukaryotic large subunit ribosomal RNA", at positions 47 to 648 of the family's 3401-position model. Lineage: Eukaryota; Fungi; Ascomycota; Dothideomycetes; Dothideales; Saccotheciaceae. The record is from RNAcentral.